Molecule: ribosomal RNA, 497 nt
Filed under: uncultured bacterium
Lineage: Bacteria
Description: partial 16S ribosomal RNA
Rfam family: Bacterial small subunit ribosomal RNA
Source: RNAcentral
GAUGAACGCUGGCGGCGUGCCUAAUACAUGCGAGUCGAGCGAACAGACGAGGAGCUUGCUCCUCUGACGUUAGCGGCGGACGGGUGAGUAACACGUGGAUAACCUACCUAUAAGACUGGGAUAACUUCGGGAAACCGGAGCUAAUACCGGAUAAUAUAUUGAACCGCAUGGUUCAAUAGUGAAAGACGGUUUUGCUGUCACUUAUAGAUGGAUCCGCGCCGCAUUAGCUAGUUGGUAAGGUAACGGCUUACCAAGGCGACGAUGCGUAGCCGACCUGAGAGGGUGAUCGGCCAGCCUGGAAGUGAGACACGGUCCAGACUCCUACGGGAGGCAGCAGUAGGGAAUCUUCCGCAAUGGGCGAAAGCCUGACGGAGCAACGCCGCGUGAGUGAUGAAGGUCUUCGGAUCGUAAAACUCUGUUAUUAGGGAAGAACAAAUGUGUAAGUAACUAUGCACGUCUUGACGGUACCUAAUCAGAAAGCCCCGGCUAACUACGUG